Molecule: ribosomal RNA, 717 nt
Filed under: Sarcodon sp. G299
Lineage: Eukaryota; Fungi; Basidiomycota; Agaricomycetes; Thelephorales; Thelephoraceae
Description: eukaryotic LSU rRNA
Rfam family: 5.8S ribosomal RNA (bases 273-426)
Source: RNAcentral
UUCUUGGGUCCAUUAGAGGAAGUAAAAGUCGUAACAAGGUUUCCGUAGGUGAACCUGCGGAAGGAUCAUUAAAGAUGUGAAACAGCAUGAAGGGUUGUUGCUGGCCUCUUGUUGUGGGGGGUAUGUGCACACCUGGAUUGCUUAAAAUCCACCCUUUUACACCUGUGCACACCCUGUAGCUUAGGAGGACCCUGUCAGGUCACCUCUGCUAUGCCUUUUUGUUUACACGCUCUUGUACAAAAGUUUUAUGGAAGUGGAUGCAAAACAAAUACAACUUUCAGCAACGGAUCUCUUGGCUCUCGCAUCGAUGAAGAACGCAGCGAAAUGCGAUAAGUAAUGUGAAUUGCAGAAUUCAGUGAAUCAUCGAAUCUUUGAACGCACCUUGCGCUCCUUGGUAUUCUGAGGAGCAUGCCUGUUUGAGUCUCAUGGAAUUUCUCAACUGCUUUGACUUGUCAGAGCAAUGGUUGGAUUUGGAGGAUGUUUGCUGGCGUCUCUUAGGCUUGUCAGCUCCUCUUGAAAAGAUGAAGCUUUCCGGUGGGUUCUGGCAAAGUGAUCUUCGAUGUGAUAAAUUCUAUACAUCGCUGAGAAACGCAGCCUUCCUACAUGGGAAAUAGUGUUAUGAAGGGACAUGUGAUGACCUUCGAUUGUGACCGAUUUGAGCUCAAAUCAGGUAGGACUACCCGCCGAACUUAAGCAUAUCAUAANNCCGGAAGNAAA